UUCGCAUGUUUCUUUCUUGAAAGAUUUAUCGCUAUGAGAUGGACCCGCGUCUGAUUAGCUAGUUGGUAAGGUAACGGCUUACCAAGGCGACGAUCAGUAGCCGGCUUGAGAGAGUGAACGGCCACAUUGGGACUGAGACACGGCCCAAACUCCUACGGGAGGCAGCAGUGGGGAAUAUUGCACAAUGGGGGAAACCCUGAUGCAGCGACGCCGCGUGAGUGAAGAAGUAUUUCGGUAUGUAAAGCUCUAUCAGCAGGGAAGAUAAUGACGGUACCUGACUAAGAAGCCCCGGCUAACUACGUGCCAGCAGCCGCGGUAAUACGUAGGGGGCAAGCGUUAUCCGGAUUUACUGGGUGUAAAGGGUGCGUAGGUGGCAAGGCAAGUCAGAUGUGAAAGCCCGGGGCUCAACCCCGGUACUGCAUUUGAAACUGUCUAGCUAGAGUGCAGGAGAGGUAAGCGGAAUUCCUAGUGUAGCGGUGAAAUGCGUAGAUAUUAGGAGGAACACCAGUGGCGAAGGCGGCUUACUGGACUGUAACUGACACUGAGGCACGAAAGCGUGGGGAGCAAACAGGAUUAGAUACCCUGGUAGUCCACGCCGUA
This 600-nucleotide ribosomal RNA is filed under the name uncultured bacterium. RNAcentral describes it as "bacterial SSU rRNA". It matches the Rfam family "Bacterial small subunit ribosomal RNA", at positions 185 to 804 of the family's 1533-position model. The record is from RNAcentral.